AGCGAACGCUGGCGGCAGGCCUAAUACAUGCAAGUCGAACGAACCUUUCGGGGUUAGUGGCGGAUGGGGGAGUAACACGUCGGAACGUUCCUUUAUGGUCGGAAUAACUCAGGGAAACUUGUGCUAAUACCGAAUGUGCCCUUCGGGGGAAAGAUUCAUCGUCUUUAGAGCGUCCCGCGUCUGAUUAGCUAGUUGUAUGAGUUAAUGGCUCACCAAGGCGACGAUCAGUAGCUGGUCUGAGAGAAUGAUCAGCCACAUUGGGACUGGGACACGGCCCAGACUCCUACGGGAGGCAGCAGUGGGGAAUCUUGCGAAAUGGGCGGAAGCCUGACGCAGCCAUGCCGCGUGAAUGAUGAAGGUAUUAGGGUUGUAAAAUUCUUUCAACGGGGACGAUAAUGACGGUACCCGGAGAAGAAGCCCCGGCUAACUUCGUG
This 434-nucleotide ribosomal RNA is filed under the name uncultured bacterium. RNAcentral describes it as "partial 16S ribosomal RNA". It matches the Rfam family "Bacterial small subunit ribosomal RNA", at positions 29 to 507 of the family's 1533-position model. The record is from RNAcentral.